RNAcentral lists this transfer RNA (75 nucleotides) under Rhodanobacteraceae bacterium. Its description in RNAcentral is "tRNA-Ala". It matches the Rfam family "tRNA". Rfam says of the family: Transfer RNA (tRNA) molecules are approximately 80 nucleotides in length. The record is from RNAcentral. Lineage: Bacteria; Pseudomonadati; Pseudomonadota; Gammaproteobacteria; Lysobacterales; Rhodanobacteraceae.
GGGGCCGUAGCUCAGCGGGAGAGUUCCUGCUUUGCAAGCAGGCUGUCGUGGGUUCGAAUCCCACCGGCUCCACCA